Molecule: long non-coding RNA, 552 nt
Filed under: Pan troglodytes (chimpanzee)
Lineage: Eukaryota; Metazoa; Chordata; Mammalia; Primates; Hominidae
Description: lncRNA (ENSPTRG00000053303.1)
Source: RNAcentral
GUUUGGUUACUCAUCUGGAAAUUUUAAUACUUUCUUCAGGGGCAGGGACUGGCAAUAAAAAAAUAGACCUAUAUAUCAAACCUUUAACUUCCAGCCAUCAUUGUGUGCUAUAAUACAGAUGGAGUGACUAUCAGCAAGCUUUACUGUGUUGGUUUAUUUUCUUUAGCAGAGAAUGUGGAUUUAAAUGGGAUAAAGCAACAAAGUCGACUUAGGGCCGGAGAGCCCAUCGGAACCUUCCAUUUCCUUUGCAAGCAGAGAUAACUGGCUACAGUCAGCCUCCCCAGGACCUGAUGCCAAAGGAUAACUGCAAGAUCAGAAAGGACUUCAACCUACGGGCAAGGAAUCCACGAAGCAGCAUCCAGCAGGGUAUUGAUACAGCCAGACUUGCAGCAAGAUGGAGAAUAAAUUGAUAGUAAGUGGCUUGCAGGAGGCCUGAGCAUAUGAUAAAACACAGUUAAAAGAGUAUAACUCUUUGAUCUAGCUUUUAUAAACUCAGGCAGAGCAUAAGAAUUCCAGACAGAUUAAGAGAAAAAAGCCCUGGGCUGAGAGAGG